Molecule: transfer RNA, 71 nt
Filed under: Albula goreensis
Lineage: Eukaryota; Metazoa; Chordata; Actinopteri; Albuliformes; Albulidae
Rfam family: tRNA
About the family: Transfer RNA (tRNA) molecules are approximately 80 nucleotides in length. Their secondary structure includes four short double-helical elements and three loops (D, anti-codon, and T loops).
Source: Rfam by way of RNAcentral
GCGCCAGUAGUGUAGGGGCAUCAUGCAAGAUUCCCAUUCUCGUGACCGGGGUUUUAUUCCCGGCUUGCGCA